UACGUAGGGGGCAAGCGUUAUCCGGAUUUACUGGGUGUAAAGGGAGCGUAGACGGCAGAGCAAGUCUGAAGUGAAAGCCCGCGGCCCAACUGCGGGGCUGCUUUGGAAACUGCCCGGCUAGAGUGCUGGAGAGGUAAGCGGAAUUCCUAGUGUAGUGGUGAAAUGCGUAGAUAUUAGGAGGAACACCAGUGGCGAAGGCGGCUUACUGGACAGUAACUGACGUUGAGGCUCGAAAGCGUGGGGAGCAAACAGG
This 253-nucleotide ribosomal RNA is filed under the name uncultured bacterium. RNAcentral describes it as "partial 16S ribosomal RNA". It matches the Rfam family "Bacterial small subunit ribosomal RNA", at positions 524 to 776 of the family's 1533-position model. The record is from RNAcentral.